GCACCUUUACAAAAUAAGUAUGAGGACUUAUUCGGGACACUACGGCUUGCCUUGUUCGCCCUUUGGGUGACUUACCCCUGACCUUCGGCUUCUUGCCUUUGGCAUAACUCCAACUUACUCUCCAACUGCACUGCGCCAAUCUUCCCCUUCCCCCUGCCAUAGAAACCUCUCACUGCCUCGUUACCCAGUGUUACCUAAGCGGGAAAUCUAACAGUAGCCGGAUACUACUGGCGGAAAACGUGCAUAUGCCCUGCAUACGCGACGGUGUGUCCCUAAUAUCAUUGCGGUCUGGACGUGAUUCUAUAGAAGUGCACCUCGUCUCACACAAUCAUGCUAGUAAACAUUACACCAUGGGAGGCGGCGAAGCAAGCCGUCUGCCUCAACAUGCCCGGUAUCGAUAUUCGGUGGCGUAGUAAUUGGCUUGAACUCGUAAUCGCAUCACUCUCGACUCCGCUAGUUAGCGGUUCGUAAUUCUGAGACCACUGUACCUCGUGUCCCAUCUGUACAUCUCACCUCGAACCUUAAUUAUGCAAGACUGCUCCCACCUAACCCUUGCGCGCUGAUUCGUCGUUUGGCCGCGACCCGCUGCCCUACUAACAGCUGCCCGACCUGCCAUCUGGUGGCUAGCGGCCUGAACCGUGGGCCGUCGAUCUGUCGUCGGCCGGACCGCCGCGUUAUGACUUCCGCUCGGCACUGACCGGCGAGGCGUCGCCGUCCAUGAACUCAACGAUACGACGGCUAAUGAGGUGGCAUUAAUAAAUUCUACCACGCGCUGAACGGUUGCGGGUUGUCCUGACAAGCUAUCAAGUGUAUUGGAUUAGAGUUAGACUGUUGGCGUUGCAUAAUGUUGCCUUAGAAUUGCGGACCCGAAUUAGUACCCGGGAAUUCGGUCGACAGCUCCCGUCAGCCCCUUAGCUCUCCGUAUAAGGGAAUAACCGGCGAAAGGGGUAGCCCCGUUGUUCCCAGAGUCGAGCAGCACCCCUCCAUUAGAGGUGCAAAUCGUCGGCGGCCGUUCUGUUAGAUUAAGCACAAUUCUGCGCGGGCUAUGAUCCUUUCCUGAUGGUUAACCCAAUUUGGUCACGCGUGUAGGUCCGAUCAGUACCCUAGAAACCUAUGUAACCUGCCGUCCUCACCCAGUUAUCCACACCCGGGGUAUGGUUCUGACGGAGUUGCAUCUCAAGUCAUUAGGCUCCGCGAAUCACCGUGCGGCGCCCCAGGCGGUAUUUAAAGGCUCCGGCACGCCCGCGGCAUAUUGUCAUCAUGUCUACCACGUCUGUGGAGGUUGUUUCGGAGGCAAGUCGGCCCGAGAGCCCGCCGGGGUCCGCGGCCGAGGUACCCCGAGAAUUGUACAACGAGAUCGUCCGCUUAAAGGACGACCUCCACGCGGCUGAGGGAAAGUUGGAGGUCGCCCGCCGGGACCUGGAGCGGGCCCACCGAAAAAACAAAGCCGUAGUCGCGAGGCUGCGGAAAAUAAUCUAUGCCACCCAGACCGCACCGAGCUACGCCCGGCCGGGGUGGCUCGACCAAGAAAUAGAGUGGGCCUUAUUGGAGCUCUCUUGAGCCCUCAGAUGCAACGACGCAGGACACCUCCGAAUUCAUCUCGCCGUCGCGAUGAAUGGUGGUUCUGUAGUGUGUGAACAAAUUCUGGCUCGCUGUCUGUAAAUACAUGUGCCAUUUUGUACCAAUUCGUCUGUUAAGUACGCUAUCACCAAUGUAAAGGGUUUCUUUCAACGGAGACACGAUCCGGCGGGUUCCGAAUCCUGCAGAAGGCAUGGCGAUCAGACGACUGAGUGAGAGAACUAGUGACGUGUGUCCUA
RNAcentral lists this long non-coding RNA (1817 nucleotides) under Amphibalanus amphitrite. RNAcentral's name for it is "uncharacterized LOC122374489". The record is from RNAcentral. Lineage: Eukaryota; Metazoa; Arthropoda; Thecostraca; Balanomorpha; Balanidae.